CAUCCCCGGACAGCCGAUGAAAGUCGGUCUCCUGGGCAACCAGGCCGGGCGACAGGUGGUGCAUGGUUGUCGUCAGCUCGUGUCGUGAGAUGUUGGGUUAAGUCCCGCAACGAGCGCAACCCUCAUCGGAUGUUGCCAUCGGGUAAAGCCGGGCACUCUUCCGAAACUGCCGGAGUAAUCCGGAGGAAGGUGGGGAUGACGUCAAAUCAGCAUGCCCCUUACGCCCUGGGCUGCACACGUGCUACAAUGGCGCGUACAAAGGGCUGCUAAGCCGUGAGGCGGAGCGAAUCCCAAAAAGCGCGUCUCAGUUGGGAUUGGAGUCUGCAACUCGACUCCAUGAACCCGGAAUCGCUAGUAACCGCGCAUCAGCAACGACGCGGUGAAUACGUUCCCGGGCCUUGUACACACCGCCCGUCAAGUCACGAAAGCUGGUAGCACCCGAAGCCG
Molecule: ribosomal RNA, 447 nt
Filed under: uncultured candidate division WS1 bacterium
Lineage: Bacteria; Bacillati
Description: bacterial SSU rRNA
Rfam family: Bacterial small subunit ribosomal RNA
Source: RNAcentral